AGAUUUUAACCAAGGAAAGACAACUUGAUGUGCUUUGAUUUGAGGGGUCACUCAAUGCUGAACGAAAAUUAGGGACAUUGCUAUGUGAAGAAACGUUAACAUUGCCGCCUAUGGGAAAACAAUUAGUGGGCUGUACCCAAUAUGUUGAGCCUAUUGGUUCAUGGUGAUACAGGACAACUUCGAGGUUCAUGCAGAUGGUGUUUAAAACUAUCAGUCAGUAAAAACAAACUCAUUUGAACAUAUCUCGAGUCUUCACAUGUAAAAUGAUGGCCGCAGUACUUUUAAUAUAGGUUAACGCAGACAGACGCAUUUUGCCGGAAAACGAAUCUGACAUGCCACCUCGAGAUUUUAACCAAGGAAAGACAACUUGAUGUGCUUUGAUUUGAGGGGUCACUCAAUGCUGAACGAAAAUUAGGGACAUUGCUAUGUGAAGAAACGUUAACAUUGCCGCCUAUGGGAAAACAAUUAG
Long non-coding RNA from Saccostrea echinata, 469 nucleotides. RefSeq lists it as uncharacterized. The transcript has 3 exons. NCBI's taxonomy places the organism in Eukaryota, Metazoa, Mollusca, Bivalvia, Ostreida, Ostreidae. The record is from RefSeq and is a predicted model, not a curated record.